Molecule: ribosomal RNA, 713 nt
Filed under: Bacillus sp. 6B
Lineage: Bacteria; Bacillati; Bacillota; Bacilli; Caryophanales; Bacillaceae
Description: bacterial SSU rRNA
Rfam family: Bacterial small subunit ribosomal RNA
Source: RNAcentral
AAACCGGGGCUAAUACCGGAUAACAUUUUGAACCGCAUGGUUCGAAAUUGAAAGGCGGCUUCGGCUGUCACUUAUGGAUGGACCCGCGUCGCAUUAGCUAGUUGGUGAGGUAACGGCUCACCAAGGCAACGAUGCGUAGCCGACCUGAGAGGGUGAUCGGCCACACUGGGACUGAGACACGGCCCAGACUCCUACGGGAGGCAGCAGUAGGGAAUCUUCCGCAAUGGACGAAAGUCUGACGGAGCAACGCCGCGUGAGUGAUGAAGGCUUUCGGGUCGUAAAACUCUGUUGUUAGGGAAGAACAAGUGCUAGUUGAAUAAGCUGGCACCUUGACGGUACCUAACCAGAAAGCCACGGCUAACUACGUGCCAGCAGCCGCGGUAAUACGUAGGUGGCAAGCGUUAUCCGGAAUUAUUGGGCUUAAAGCGCGCGCAGGUGGUUUUCUUAAGUCUGAUGUGAAAGCCCACGGCUCAACCGUGGAGGGGUCAUGGGAAACUGGGGAGACUUGAGUGCAGAAGAGGGAAAGUGGAAUUCCAUGUGUAGCGGUGAAAUGCGUAGAGAUAUGGAGGAACACCAGUUGGCGAAGGCGACUUUCUGGGUCUGUAACUGACACUGAGGCGCGAAAGCGUGGGGAGCAAACAGGGAUUAGAUACCCUGGUAGUCCACGCCCUAAACGAUGAGUGCUUAGUGUUAGAGGGUUUCCGCCCUUUUAG